RNAcentral lists this ribosomal RNA (397 nucleotides) under uncultured bacterium. Its description in RNAcentral is "bacterial SSU rRNA". It matches the Rfam family "Bacterial small subunit ribosomal RNA", at positions 30 to 428 of the family's 1533-position model. The record is from RNAcentral.
AUUGAACGCUGGCGGCAUGCUUUACACAUGCAAGUCGAGCGGCAGCGGGGGUGCUUGCACCUGCCGGCGAGUGGCGAACGGGUGAGUAAUACAUCGGAACGUAUCCUUAAGUGGGGAAUAACGCAUCGAAAGAUGUGCUAAUACCGCAUAGUCUUUUACAAGUAAAGCAGGGGAUCGAAAGACCUUGCGCUUGAGGAGCGGCCGAUGUCUGAUUAGCUAGUUGGUGGGGUAAAGGCCUACCAAGGCGACGAUCAGUAGUUGGUCUGAGAGGACGACCAACCACACUGGGACUGAGACACGGCCCAGACUCCUACGGGAGGCAGCAGUGGGGAAUUUUGGACAAUGGGCGAAAGCCUGAUCCAGCCAUGCCGCGUGAGUGAAGAAGGCCUGGUUGUAA